This 311-nucleotide ribosomal RNA is filed under the name Achromobacter sp. Its description in RNAcentral is "bacterial SSU rRNA". It matches the Rfam family "Bacterial small subunit ribosomal RNA", at positions 112 to 426 of the family's 1533-position model. The record is from RNAcentral. Lineage: Bacteria; Pseudomonadati; Pseudomonadota; Betaproteobacteria; Burkholderiales; Alcaligenaceae.
AAUGUAUCGGAACGUGCCCAGUAGCGGGGGAUAACUACGCGAAAGCGUAGCUAAUACCGCAUACGCCCUACGGGGGAAAGCAGGGGAUCGCAAGACCUUGCACUAUUGGAGCGGCCGAUAUCGGAUUAGCUAGUUGGUGGGGUAACGGCUCACCAAGGCGACGAUCCGUAGCUGGUUUGAGAGGACGACCAGCCACACUGGGACUGAGACACGGCCCAGACUCCUACGGGAGGCAGCAGUGGGGAAUUUUGGACAAUGGGGGAAACCCUGAUCCAGCCAUCCCGCGUGUGCGAUGAAGGCCUUCGGGUUGU